GAGUUUGAACAUGGCUCAGAUUGAACGCUGGCGGCAGGCCUAACACAUGCAAGUCGAGCGGCAGCACGGGGAGCUUGCUCCCUGGUGGCGAGCGGCGGACGGGUGAGUAAUGCAUGGGAAUCUGCCCGGUAGUGGGGGAUAACCCGGGGAAACCCGGGCUAAUACCGCAUACGUCCUACGGGAGAAAGCAGGGAUCUUCGGACCUUGCGCUAUCGGAUGAGCCCAUGUCGGAUUAGCUUGCUGGUGAGGUAACGGCUCACCAGGGCGACGAUCCGUAGCUGGUCUGAGAGGAUGAUCAGCCACACCGGGACUGAGACACGGCCCGGACUCCUACGGGAGGCAGCAGUGGGGAAUAUUGGACAAUGGGGGAAACCCUGAUCCAGCCAUGCCGCGUGUGUGAAGAAGGCUUUCGGGUUGUAAAGCACUUUCAGCGGGGAAGAAGGCAUGGCGGCUAAUACCCGCCAUGAAGGACAUCACCCGCAGAAGAAGCACCGGCUAACUCCGUGCCAGCAGCCGCGGUAAUACGGAGGGUGCAAGCGUUAAUCGGAAUUACUGGGCGUAAAGGGCGCGUAGGCGGCCUGCCAAGCCGGAUGUGAAAGCCCCGGGCUCAACCCGGGAACGGCAUUCGGAACUGGCAGGCUAGAGUGCAGGAGAGGAAGGUGGAAUUCCCGGUGUAGCGGUGAAAUGCGUAGAGAUCGGGAGGAAUACCAGUGGCGAAGGCGGCCUUCUGGACUGACACUGACGCUGAGGCGCGAAAGCGUGGGUAGCAAACAGGAUUAGAUACCCUGGUAGUCCACGCCGUAAACGAUGUCGACCAGCCGUUGGACCCCCUGAGGGUCUGGUGGCGCAGUUAACGCAAUAAAUCGACCGCCUGGGGAGUACGGGCCGCAGGGUAAAACUCAA
RNAcentral lists this ribosomal RNA (903 nucleotides) under uncultured bacterium. RNAcentral describes it as "bacterial SSU rRNA". It matches the Rfam family "Bacterial small subunit ribosomal RNA", at positions 9 to 904 of the family's 1533-position model. The record is from RNAcentral.